UCCCUGGUGGUUCAGUGGCUAGGACUCUGCGAUCCCAAGGCAGCAGGCCUGGGUUCAAUCCCUGGUCAGGGAA
RNAcentral lists this transfer RNA (73 nucleotides) under Bos taurus (domestic cattle). It matches the Rfam family "tRNA". From Rfam's summary of the family: Transfer RNA (tRNA) molecules are approximately 80 nucleotides in length. Their secondary structure includes four short double-helical elements and three loops (D, anti-codon, and T loops). Further hydrogen bonds mediate the characteristic L-shaped molecular structure. tRNAs have two regions of fundamental functional importance: the anti-codon, which is responsible for specific mRNA codon recognition, and the 3' end, to which the tRNAs corresponding amino acid is attached (by aminoacyl-tRNA synthetases). tRNAs cope with the degeneracy of the genetic code in two manners: having more than one tRNA (with a specific anti-codon) for a particular amino acid; and 'wobble' base-pairing, i.e. permitting non-standard base-pairing at the 3rd anti-codon position. Lineage: Eukaryota; Metazoa; Chordata; Mammalia; Artiodactyla; Bovidae. The record is from Rfam by way of RNAcentral. RNAcentral also lists the same sequence under 5 other names.